CACGUAGGCGGUUUGCUAAGUCAGAUGUGAAAGCCCCGGGCUCAACCUGGGAAUUGCAUCUGAUACUGGUAGGCUAGAAUGCAGUAGAGGGAGGUGGAAUUUCCGGUGUAGCGGUGAAAUGCGUAGAGAUCGGAAGGAACACCAGUGGCGAAGGCGGCCUCCUGGACUGACAUUGACGCUGAGGUGCGAAAGCGUGGGGAGCAAACA
Molecule: ribosomal RNA, 207 nt
Filed under: uncultured bacterium
Lineage: Bacteria
Description: partial 16S ribosomal RNA
Rfam family: Bacterial small subunit ribosomal RNA
Source: RNAcentral